RNAcentral lists this long non-coding RNA (2454 nucleotides) under Homo sapiens (human). Its description in RNAcentral is "non-protein coding lnc-DRD5-16:2". The record is from RNAcentral. Lineage: Eukaryota; Metazoa; Chordata; Mammalia; Primates; Hominidae.
CUCCACCCUGUCUGACUCCAAAGAUCACAUAUUUCCUAUGCCUUUGGACUGGGGCACAGAUGUAGACAACUCGAGCUUUGCUGAUUGUGAGAAAGGUAUGAGAAAUAGCCCUGAUGGAAUUUUCUUCUUGUACUUGCAGGGGAACAAAGCGGCAUCAUUCCAUUAUUCCAGGGGAGGUGCUAAAUACAAGGGUGAGGCUGUCAAGCGGUCCCUGGUGGAGUCCUACAUUCACCCAAACAGCAACGAGACAGAGCGGAGGGGAACAUCGAUACUGUCAUGAACUGGUUCACCUAGGAAGACUUUGACUUUGUGACUCUGUGCUACAGAGAGCCAGAUAACGUGGGACAUCGAUUUGGGCCAGAGGCAGAGAACAGGAAGUUGAUGAUUCAGCAAAUCGACAGGACCAUCGGGUAUCUGGUGGGAGCCACUGAGAAGCACAGCCUGCAGAGCACCUCAGCAUCAUCAUCACAUGAGACCAUGGGAUGACCACCGUGAAGAAGAGACCCAAUGUCAACAAGAUCCCUUGUCCAACUACAUCAAGUUCAGGAACUUGGUCAAGUUUGAUAUUGUGGGCUACGGUGGCUUUGGGAUGCCCCUACCCAAAUUGGGGCAAGAGGAAACCCUUUACCAGGCACUGAAGAAUGCAUACCCUCACCUCCACAUCUUCAAGAAGGAGGAGUUUCCAGAGCAUUUCCAUCUUGCUAAACAUGACCAGGUUCUGCCAAUCGUGAUGUAUGCCAACUCUGGUUACAGUAUCAAUGGGGUAAGUUCAUUCUAAAAUGAAUAAAGUCACCUUGGAUCUAGGAGACAACCAUUAGAGAAGGGUGGUUCUGCAAAAAUCAAACAUAAGUGCACAGCCGGGCAGGGUGGCUCAAGCCUAUAAUCGCAGCACUUCAGGAGGCUGAGGCAGGUGUAUCACCUGAGGUCAGGAGUUUGAGACCAGCCUGGCCAACAUGGUGAAACCCCAUCUCUACUAAAAAUACAAAAAUUAGCCGGGCAUGGUGGCGCACAUCUGUAGUUCCAGCUACUCUGGAGGCUGAGGCAGGAGAAUCGCUUGAACCUGGGAGGCAGAGGUUGCAGUGAGCCAAGAUCAUGCUACUGCACUCCAGCCUGGGCAAUAGAGUGAGACCCUGUCUCAAAAAAAUAUAAUAUAAUAUAACAUAAUAAAACAAAACAAAACAAAAUAAAAUAAAAUAAGUGCACACACUACGAGUUGUAGCCCACAGGGUCCUAAAUGUUCCCCACCCCCCGCCCAACCAAUGCUGCCCCAAAUUACCAUUAUACAAGAUUAAUGACCAAUUCAACUUGACAAGGCUGAUUUAAAAAUAAAAAUAAGGCUGGCCAUGGUGGUUCACACCUGUAAUCUCAGUGUUUUGGGAGGCCAAGACAGGAGGGUUGCUUAAGGCCAGGAGUUCAAGACCAGCCCGGGCAACAUAGGGAGACCCAUCUCUACAAAAAACAAACAAAUAAAUAAAUAGCCAGACAUGGCGAUGCAUGCCUGUAGUCCCAGCUACUCAGGAGGCUGAGGUGGCAGGAUUUCUUGAGCCCAGGAGGUCAAGGCUGCACUAAGCUGUGAUUGCACCACUGCACUCCAGCUUGAGCAAUAGAGCAAGACCCCGCCUCUAAAAAAUAAAUAAACAAAUAAUAAAAAAUAAACACCAACUUCAUUAUUCAAAACUGUGCAUAGCUCUUCACUAAACAUUGAAUAGCAGUUCUUUCAUUUUUGUCUUCCCAACAGCCCUAUAAAAUAGAUGAUCUUAGUUCCACCAUUUUAAAGAAGAAAUCAAAACCUAGAGAGAAGCGACUUGAGAUUAAAAAUUUAAGGUUGGGCUGGGUGCAGUGGCUCACACAUGUAAUCCCAGCACUUUAGAAGGCUAAGGUAGGUAGACUGCUUGAGCCCAGGAGUUUGAGACCAGUCUAGGCAACACAGUGAAACAUCACCUCUACAAAAAAUGCAAAAAAAGUAGCUGGGUGUAGUGGCACGUGCCUGUGGUCCCAGCAACUCAGGAGGCUGAGGUGGGAGAACUGCUUGAGCCCGGGGGUGUUGAGUCUGCAGUGAGCCAUGAUCACGCCACUGUGAGAUAGGAGGCAGGACUUGACUCCACAGGCAGGGCUUGGACACCAGACCAAAUUGAGGACUAGCUAAAACAGGGCUGGGGCAGAAGCAGCUUUCCAUCAGACAUGCCCACCAGUGUGCCAUGUGAGUUUACUAUUGCCAAGGCAACACCCAGGAGUUACUGCCCCUUUCCAUGGCAAUGACCCAAUGACUCAAAAGUUACUACCCAUUUUCUAGAAAUUCCUGCAUAAACUGCCCUUUAAUCUGCAUGCAAUUAAAAGUGGGUAUAAAUGUGAUUGCAAACUCUCUGCCGCUGUUCUCUGCCUCCAGGGUAGCCCUGCCCUACAGGAGCAGUCACAGGGCUGUAAUGCUGCCUCUUCAAUAAAGCUGUCUUCUUC